UACGUAGGGGGCUAGCGUUGUCCGGAAUCAUUGGGCGGAAAGAGCGUGUAGGCGGUCCGGUAAGUCCGCUGUGAAAGUCGGGGGCUCAACCCUCGAAUGCCGGUGGAUACUGUCGGGCUAGAGUGCGGAAGAGGCGAGUGGAAUUCCUGGUGUAGCGGUGAAAUGCGCAGAUAUCAGGAGGAACACCGGUGGCGAAGGCGGCAUCCUGGACCGGCAUUGACGCUGAGGCGCGAAGGCCAGGGGAGCAAACGGG
This 253-nucleotide ribosomal RNA is filed under the name uncultured bacterium. RNAcentral describes it as "partial 16S ribosomal RNA". It matches the Rfam family "Bacterial small subunit ribosomal RNA", at positions 524 to 776 of the family's 1533-position model. The record is from RNAcentral.